RNAcentral lists this ribosomal RNA (464 nucleotides) under uncultured bacterium. RNAcentral describes it as "partial 16S ribosomal RNA". It matches the Rfam family "Bacterial small subunit ribosomal RNA", at positions 339 to 795 of the family's 1533-position model. The record is from RNAcentral.
CUACGGGCCGCUGCAGUGGGGAAUUUUGGACAAUGGGCGAAAGCCUGAUCCAGCAAUGCCGCGUGCAGGAAGAAGGCCUUCGGGUUGUAAACUGCUUUUGUACGGAGCGAAAAGGUCCUUUCUAAUACAAGGGGCUCAUGACGGUACCGUAAGAAUAAGCACCGGCUAACUACGUGCCAGCAGCCGCGGUAAUACGUAGGGUGCAAGCGUUAAUCGGAAUUACUGGGCGUAAAGCGUGCGCAGGCGGUUGUGUAAGACAGGCGUGAAAUCCCCGGGCUCAACCUGGGAAUGGCGCUUGUGACUGCAAAGCUGGAGUGCGGAAGAGGGGGAUGGAAUUCCGCGUGUAGCAGUGAAAUGCGUAGAUAUGCGGAGGAACACCGAUGGCGAAGGCAAUCCCCUGGGCCUGCACUGACGCUCAUGCACGAAAGCGUGGGGAGCAAACAGGAUUAGAUACCCCGGUAGUC